UGAGGAAUUCGUCGGAAUCUGCCUUUUUGUGGGGGAUAACGUAGGGAAACUUACGCUAAUACCGCAUACGACCUACGGGUGAAAGUGGGGGACCGCAAGGCCUCACGCGAUAGAAUGAGCCGAUGUCCGAUUAGUUAGUUGGCGGGGUAAAGGCCCACCAAGGCGACGAUCGGUAGCUGGUCUGAGAGGAUGAUCAGCCACACUGGGACUGAGACACGGCCCAGACUCCUACGGGAGGCAGCAGUGGGGAAUAUUGGACAAUGGGCGCAAGCCUGAUCCAGCCAUACCGCGUGAGUGAAGAAGGCCCUCGGGUUGUAAAGCUCUUUUGUUGGGAAAGAAAUCCUGUUGGCUAAUACCCGGCAGGGAUGACGGUACCCAAAGAAUAAGCACCGGCUAACUUCGUGCCAGCAGCCGCGGUAAUACGAAGGGUGCAAGCGCUACUCGGAAUUACUGGGCGUAAAGCGUGCGUAGGCGGUUCGUUAAGUCUGAUGUGAAAUCCCCGGGCUCAACCUGGGACGUGCAUUGGAAACUGGCGAUCUAGAAUACGGUAGAGGGUGGUGGAAUUCCCGGUGUAGCAGUGAAAUGCGUAGAGAUCGGGAGGAACACUCGUGGCGAAGGCGGCCACCUGGACCAGUACUGACGCUGAGGCACGAAAGCGUGGGGAGCAAACAGGAUUAGAUGCCCUGGUAGUCCACGCCCUAAACGAUGCGAACUGGAUGUUGGGUUCAACUUGGAACCCAGUAUCGAAGCUAACGCGUUAAGUUCGCCGCCUGGGGAGUACGGUCGCAGGACUGAAACUCAAAGGAAUUGACGGGGGCCCGCACAAGCGGUGGAGUAUGUGGUUUAAUUCGAUGCAACGCGCAGAACCUUACCUGGCCUUGACAUCCACGGAACUUUCCAGAGAUGGAUUGGUGCCUUCGGGAACCGUGAGACAGGUGCUGCAUGGCUGUCGUCAGCUCGUGUCGUGAGAUGUUGGGUUAAGUCCCGCAACGAGCGCAACCCUUGUCCUUAGUUGCCAGCACUUCGGGUGGGAACUCUAAGGAGACCGCCGGCGACAAGCCGGAGGAAGGUGGGGAUGACGUCAAGUCAUCAUGGCCCUUACGGCCAGGGCUACACACGUACUACAAUGGUGGGGACAGAGGGCUGCGAUCCGGCGACGGUGAGCCAAUCCCAGAAACCCCAUCCCAGUCCGGAUUGGAGUCUGCA
RNAcentral lists this ribosomal RNA (1206 nucleotides) under uncultured Gammaproteobacteria bacterium. Its description in RNAcentral is "bacterial SSU rRNA". It matches the Rfam family "Bacterial small subunit ribosomal RNA", at positions 107 to 1309 of the family's 1533-position model. Lineage: Bacteria; Pseudomonadati; Pseudomonadota; Gammaproteobacteria. The record is from RNAcentral.